RNAcentral lists this small RNA (500 nucleotides) under uncultured Glomeromycotina. RNAcentral's name for it is "SSU rRNA". It matches the Rfam family "Eukaryotic small subunit ribosomal RNA", at positions 591 to 1092 of the family's 1831-position model. Lineage: Eukaryota; Fungi; Glomeromycota. The record is from RNAcentral.
CCAAUAGCGUAUAUUAAAGUUGUUGCAGUUAAAAAGCUCGUAGUUGAAUUUCGGGAUCAAUAUGUUGGUCGUGCCUUUGGUACGUACUAGCUUAUUGAUUUCUCCCUUCUGACGAACCAUGAUGUCAUUAAUUUGGUGUCAUGGGGAAUCAGGACUGUUACUUUGAAAAAAUUAGAGUGUUUAAAGCAGGCUUACGCUUGAAUAUAUUAGCAUGGAAUAAUGAAAUAGGACGUUUUGAUUCUAUUUUGUUGGUUUCUAGGAUCGACGUAAUGAUUAAUAGGGAUAGUUGGGGGCAUUAGUAUUCAAUUGUCAGAGGUGAAAUUCUUGGAUUUAUUGAAGACUAACUACUGCGAAAGCAUUUGCCAAGGAUGUUUUCAUUAAUCAAGAACGAAAGUUAGGGGAUCGAAGACGAUCAGAUACCGUCGUAGUCUUAACCAUAAACUAUGCCGACUAGGGAUCGGAUGAUGUUAAUUUUUUAAUGACUCAUUCGGCGCCUUACG